AAUAAUUCAACCAAUAAAAAAAAAAAGUAUACCCUUCCCAUGAUUGUUCAUGUUAAGGCCAGAAAUAUUGUGUAUAUAAGAUUUAGAGCUUAUAAUAUAAUUCCAUGAUUUCAUCUAUAAGAUGUCUACUUAUAAACUAAGACAAUAACAUAAAUGAACGGUGAAAUAUAAACUCCAUCGUUAGCCAAAUAUUGGUAGGGAUAUCUCUUGUACUUGGGAAUCAAUAGUACCAUCAUAUGUUACUUGCGGGCUUCCGACUUCUUCUGUUCUUUGGCAGCUUUCUCCUCCUCUCGCUUUUUGGCAGCAUCUGCUCUUUGUUGUCGUAUGAGAGCCAAGCGUUCUAAAUCUUUCUUAGCUUGAUCUGUUUUUCCUUGUUCUUGCAACCUCAUAUACCUCUCAUGAGCUUGUUGUUUCUCUAUCUCUUCCCUUUCACGUCUUGAAAGCUCAGUUGUUUUCUCAAUAUCAACAUUUCUAGCUUUCACGUUCUUUGGCUUCACCAAAUUGGGGUUCUCAAUCUCAAUGAUACCCUGGGUACCUUUCCGCCUCUCUCCAUCAGAAUCUUCUUCAG
RNAcentral lists this unclassified non-coding RNA (568 nucleotides) under Hevea brasiliensis (rubber tree). The record is from RNAcentral. Lineage: Eukaryota; Viridiplantae; Streptophyta; Magnoliopsida; Malpighiales; Euphorbiaceae.